Diachasmimorpha longicaudata is the source of this 4423-nucleotide RNA transcript. It is a transcript of the gene named complement C1s subcomponent-like, with no coding region annotated. The record is from RefSeq and is a predicted model, not a curated record. The transcript is spliced from 7 exons. Lineage: Eukaryota; Metazoa; Arthropoda; Insecta; Hymenoptera; Braconidae.
GGCAUCCAAUAAUACAUAAAACUGGCCUUUAGUGAUCCAUUGUUCAGUAUGUUGCCUAUCACACCGACCAGCAUGUUUUUUGCAAAAUUUAAUACAAUUUCGUUGAUCUACAUCUGUUUUAUAUUCUACGAUCCUGUUAAAGAUGUUGAGGCACGACGACUAGCAAGAAUGAUUAAUGGGGAAGACGCCCUAAUUGAAGAAUUUCCAUCAAAUGUCUUCAUCAAUUCCGUGAACAUGGUAAAUGGAGUCCUGCGCGAGUUCUUCUGUAGCGGAUCGCUCAUUAGCCCAACUCAUGUACUGACUGCUGCACACUGUACCGUCUACUACAACGAAACAUUUAUGACAUCUCCUUACUUCCGGCUCCCGCACCAGAUGUUUGUCAAAGCAGGAGUUGCUAGUGUUCACCAGCGUGGCAACGACUACACUGUUAAACGAAUAUAUAGAUACGAACUCUGGAACACUCAGAAAGCAUUAAAUCCACGGUCAUGUGACGAUAUAGCCAUUCUCAAGUUAAACGAAGUUGUAGAGCUAGGCCCUACCCAACAAAUUAUUAAGUUACCAUGCGCCAGCCCCCCGUUCGGUGCCGAAGGUAUUCUGCUUGGAUCUGGAUCCACCUCUUCAGAUCCCAGAACACUCGGAACGAUGAAAAAAGCCACGUAUAAGGUCGUACCGUGCACGAAUUGGCUUCAAUAUGGUCUAAUUUGUGUCCGGAGUGAAACCGCUAACGUGACAACGGGUGACAGUGGUUCCGCUUUCAUAUACAACGGCAGACUUGCUGGAAUAAUUUCGGCAAUACCAAGAACACGAAACUAUUUUAUUCUAACGGAUAUCUUUAACUAUUUCAAUUGGAUUGUGAAUCAGAUUGGCAUGCCGGAGGAAUUUGCAAACCAACCUCAUAUGUUAGGCUGACAAGUGGAGUUGCACGAAUAUCGAAUGGGCAGUCGUACAUAGAAAUGAUUUGCUAUUGAUCAGCCUCUUGACUAGCCCUAUCAGUGAUCUCCAGGACGUAAUCGACAAUUAUCAGCUCAUUAUUAUUCGGUGUUAAAUGAUUUAUUCAAAUUUAUGCUGAGUAUCUUACUUUGUUCAAAUAUUUCUAAUCAGAAACGUGAUGAAUGAAUAAUUUCGAUAUUUGCUUCACAAAACUUCAUGAUCUUUAUUGAAGUAAAACAGAUGCUCAUUAUAGAAUCACUUAUUUGGUGGCGACUGCUUUCGCUUUUGGAAGUCCCUCCCUGAAUCCAUUCCUACAAUGAUAAUAGUAACACAAUUAAUCUACUGUCUGAACUGAAAAGGGAGAAGAGUGAUCGGAUUUGAUAAACAACGAGUUAAUGAAUUCUGGCCGUUUCAUUUCAACCCAACCAAUUUGAUCCUCAGCCAUGAUUUCCCCCCAAUAAUGUAGAAGCUGCUGAGCGUUGUUUAAUUUUAUUCCAAGCAUAAAAUAACAAAUACUCAUUUACAAAUACUUAUUUACUGUGGAAAAGCUUUAGCGAGAGAAGAGGAGAGAUUUCGUGAAUGAGGGAGUAGGAUCCUAUUCUAAAAAGAAGAGCCACAUAUCGUAUCGAAAAUCUCGAAUCGAAUCGAAAUCUCGCAAAGAUGUAGCCAGUAUCCUAUUGGUCGUUUAAAUUUUAGGCGCUACUUUUAAAACAUAAUGUAAAGAUCGUUAUGAUUCACCGUGAGAGAGAGAUUCAAGUGUUGAUCACUCACUCACUAUGAUUCAAGUGUUGAUGUCAAAUGCUUUCGGACGAAUCAAAGGUGAAUCAAAUUGAUUUAUAUGACAGAAACAAAACUCAUCCAUCAUUUUCCGCGCGCUGAAGCGCGCGUUCGGUCUUGUGGUGGGAGAAGACGAAUGUAAUUAGUUAGUUCCUUCAAGGAAACGAAGCAGAGCGCUUGUGCCUUUUCAGCGUAUAAAAUAAAAGAAUUAAAACGGAAUUCACACAUUUGAUUAUUGAACCAUUAUCCCAUUUCCAAUAUAUUUUUUCCAGGUUUCGAACACAAUAGUGGUGAAUUGGUAUUUAUAAACAGACCAACGAAUAUUAUUUAACACAAGAUAAAUAGACAAGUAACGAGUAAUAUCGUUAGAUUCGCGAGAGUUACAUUUGUCUCAUAAACUGAUAGGAUCAACACGAGGAUCAACACUCUCCUCUAAAGAUUUUUUUUUUUUUAAUUAAAAGGUGUAAAGCUGGUAAAAGGUAAUGAAAUCUAGGAAAUAGGAAUCAAGACUUGGAAUAAUUCGGCCGACACAACAGGAAAAUUAUUCAACUAUUACUCAUUUGCACUCGGCAAUUUCUACGGUGGAGCGUUCAAAUCUCGGCGAAGGCGCUCAAUGUUUUUUUUACAAUUUCUCCCAACAAAAGGUUGGCAUGCAAAUCGGAAUAUUAUAAAGAAAAACAUGGAUAGCGAAAGGAUAGAUGAUGAUUUUUUGAAGAAUCUAUUCAUCCCUUCAUACAUUCUCGCUCACGAUUUUCCAUAUUCGUAGGAAUAAAGUAUUUACAGGGAGACUCUUUCCACGUCACCCAAUUGGAAACACAAAACAAAAUUCAUGAAUAUACUUCCCUGGGUUUUAGGUCAGCAUGAAAAGUGAUUUACAUCACAUGGUUCAGAAAAUAUUUCCUGAUGAAUGUGAUUAAUCGGGAAAAAUUCUGUUUUUUAACGAAGCCAGACGUCAAAAGUUAUUAUUGAUUGUUUUAUACCCCCUAUCAAUUUACCAUCAGUCACAAAAAUGGCCGAAACACCAUUGGAAUUUAUGCGCUCGAUCUUUUAACCUUCACAAAAUAUUAUCUUCUCUUUUAUGUGGAAUCAUAAAACCGAAAGAAUAUGCAGUUCGAGGAAUGCGGACUUCCUUAUCUGGCCAGGGCCAUUAGAUGUAUACUAAACCAGACUGCAAAAGUAGAAAUAUUGUAGUAUUAAUUUUACUUUACAAAAAAAUGUAACUAUUUCCCAAUAUUUACCCAAAUUUAUUCUCAAUAUGAACAUUCUUCAUUUGUAAACACGUGUAUUAUCGCUGAUGAUGGUCAACUUUAUUGUACUGAAUUUUUUGAUAAACUUCAAAAAAUAUUGAAACUUCUAAACUUUCCAAUAUAAUUCUCGCCUUAUGGCACUGGCAUCCAAUGAUACAUAAAACUGGCCUUUAGUGAUCCAUUGUUCAGUAUGUUGCCUAUCACACCGACCAGCAUGUUUUUUGCAAAAUUUAAUACAAUUUCGUUGAUCUACAUCUGCUUUAUAUUCUACGAUGCUAAAGAUGUUGAGGCACGACGACAAGCAAGAAUGAUUAAUGGGGAAGACGCCCUAAUUGAAGAAUUUCCAUCAAAUGUCUUCAUCCUUACCGUGUACAAGUUGAAUGGAACAAUGAACACGGACUUCUGUAGCGGAUCGCUCAUUACCCCAACUCAUGUACUGACUGCCGCACACUGUACCGUCUUCUACAAGAAAACAUUUAUGGCAUUCCCUUACUACUGGCUCCCGCAGAAUAUCUUUGUCAGAGCGGGGGUUGCUACUGUUUUUCUGCGUGGCAACGACUACACUGUUAAAAGAAUAUAUAGACACGAACGCUGGAACGUUCAGAAAGAAUUAACUCCAUCGUCAAGUAACGAUAUAGCCAUUCUCGAGUUAAACAAAGUUGUAGAGCUAGGCCCUACCCAACAAAUUAUUAAGUUACCAUGCACCAGCCCCGAGUUCGAUGCCGAAGGUAUUCUGCUUGGGGCCGGACCGACAUCUUCAGAUCCCAAUACACUCGGAACGAUGAAAAAAGCCACGUUUAAGGUCGUACCGUGCACAAAUUGGUUCCAAUUUAAUCGAAUUUGUGUCCGGAGUGAAACCGUUAAUUCGACACCGGGUGACAGCGGUUCCGCUUUCAUAUUCAAGGACAGACUUGCUGGAAUAAUAUCGUCAAAACCAAAAAAACGAGACUAUCUUAUUCUAACGGAUGUCUUUACAUAUUUCAAUUGGAUUGUGAAUAUUGUUGGCAUGCCGGAGGAAUUUGCAGACCAACCUUGGAUGUCAGAGUGCCAAGUGGGGUUGCAGGGAUAUCGAAUCGGCAGUCGUACAUAGAAAUGAUUUGCUAUUGAUCAGCCUCUUGACUAGCCCUAUCAGUGAUCUCCAGGACGUAAUCGACAAUUAUCAGCUCAUUAUUAUUCGGUGUUAAAUGAUUUAUUCAAAUUUAUGCUGAGUAUCUUACUUUGUUCAAAUAUUUCUAAUCAGAAACGUGAUGAAUGAAUAAUUACGAUAUUAGCUUUACAAAAUUUCAUGAUCUUUAUUGAAGUAAAACAGAUGCUCAUUAUAGAAUCACUUAUUUGGUGGCGACUGCUUUCGCUUUUGGAAGUCCCUCCCUGAAUCCAUUCCUACAAUGAUAAUAGUAACACAAUUAAUCUACUGUCUGAACUGAAAAGGGAGAAGAGUGAUCGGAUUUGAUAAACAACGAGUUAAUGAA